RNAcentral lists this ribosomal RNA (515 nucleotides) under uncultured bacterium. RNAcentral's name for it is "partial 16S ribosomal RNA". It matches the Rfam family "Bacterial small subunit ribosomal RNA", at positions 28 to 523 of the family's 1533-position model. The record is from RNAcentral.
GAUGAACGCUGGCGGCGUGCCUAAUACAUGCAAGUCGAGCGAAUGGAUUAAGAGCUUGCUCUUAUGAAGUUAGCGGCGGACGGGUGAGUAACACGUGGGUAACCUGCCCAUAAGACUGGGAUAACUCCGGGAAACCGGGGCUAAUACCGGAUAACAUUUUGAACCGCAUGGUUCGAAAUUGAAAGGCGGCUUCGGCUGUCACUUAUGGCUGGACCCGCGUCGCAUUAGCUAGUUGGUGCGGUAACGGCUCACCAAGGCAACGAUGCGUAGCCGACCUGAGAGGGUGAUCGGCCACACUGGGACUGAGACACGGCCCAGACUCCCACGGGAGGCAGCAGUAGGGAAUCUUCCGCAAUGGACGAAAGUCUGACGGAGCAACGCCGCGUGAGUGAUGAAGGCUUUCGGGUCGUAAAACUCUGUUGUUAGGGAAGAACAAGUGCUAGUUGAAUAAGCUGGCACCUUGACGGUACCUAACCAGAAAGCCACGGCUAACUACGUGCCAGCAGCCGCAGUAA